RNAcentral lists this ribosomal RNA (407 nucleotides) under uncultured bacterium. RNAcentral describes it as "partial 16S ribosomal RNA". It matches the Rfam family "Bacterial small subunit ribosomal RNA", at positions 360 to 774 of the family's 1533-position model. The record is from RNAcentral.
AAUAUUGCGAAAUGGAGGGAACUCUGACGCAGCGACGCCGCGUGAGUGAUUAAGGUCUUCGGAUCGUAAAGCUCUGUCCUUGGGGAAGAAGAUCUUCGGAUUCUACGGUACUCAAGGUGGAAGCUCCGUCUAACUACGUUCCAGCAGCCGCAGUAAUCAGGCGGGGGCAAGCGUUGUCCGGAAUUAUUGGGCGUAAAGGGGGCGUAGGCGGCCUUAUAAGUCAGAUGUGAAAGACCACGGCUUAACCGUGGGGUUGCAUUAGAAACUGGAGGGCUUGAGUAUCGGAGAGGAUAGUGGAAUUCCCAGUGUAGCGGUGGAAUGCGUAGAUAUUGGGAGGAACACCAGUGGCGAAGGCGACUACCUGGACGAAAACUGACGCUGAUGCACGAAAGCUAGGGGAGCAAACA